CUGGAGAGUUUGAUGGUGGCUCAGGGCGAACGCUGGCGGCGUGGAUAAGGCAUGCAAGUCGAGCGCAGGCUUGCCUGUGGGUUCUGCCUACAGGCAGGUGCUGAGCGGCGAACGGGCGAGUAACGCGUGCCUAACCUACCCUGGAGACUGGGAUAACCCUGGGAAACUGGGGCUAAUACCGGAUACGCUCCCUCGUCGCAUGGCGGGGGAGGAAAGGUGUCCGUUCCGAAAGGGCGGAUGCCGCUCUGGGAUGGGGGCGCGUCCCAUCAGGUAGUUGGUGGGGUAACGGCCCACCAAGCCGAUGACGGGUAGCCGGCCUGAGAGGGUGGCCGGCCGCACCGGGACUGAGACACGGCCCGGACCCCUACGGGGGGCAGCAGCCGAGGAUCUUGGGCAAUGCCCGAAAGGGUGACCCAGUGACGCCGCGUGGGGGAAGAAGCCCUUCGGGGUGUAAACCCCUGUUGGCGGGGGAAGAAGCCAACCCUUCGGGGUUGGUUGACGGUACCCCGCAAGAAAGCCCCGGCUAACUCCGUGCCAGCAGCCGCGGUAAAACGGAGGGGGCGAGCGUUGCCCGGAUUUACUGGGCUUAAAGGGUCCGUAGGCGGUGCCCCAAGUCCCUCGUGAAAGCUGCCCGCUCAACGGGCAGAGGUCGGGGGAGACUGGGACACUUGAGGGCGGGAGAGGCCAGCGGAACGGCGGGUGUAGCGGUGAAAUGCGUCGAUAUCCGCCGGAACACCAGUGGCGAAGGCGGCUGGCUGGAACGCCCCUGACGCUGAGGGACGAAGGCCGGGGGAGCGAACCGGAUUAGAUACCCGGGUAGUCCCGGCAGUAAACGUUGGGCGCUAGGUGUGGGGAGCUUCGACCCUCCCCGUGCCGCAGGGAAACCAAUAAGCGCCCCGCCUGGGGAGUACGGGCGCAAGCCUGAAACUCAAACCAAUUGACGGGGGCCCGCACAAGCGGCGGAGCAUGUGGCUUAAUUCGAUGCUACCCGAAGAACCUUACCAGGGCUUGACAUGCUGGCGUAAGCCUGCCCGAAAGGGUGGGGUGGGACGGUUUUCGCCGUCCAGCCAGCACAGGUGGUGCACGGCUGUCGUCAGCUCGUGCCGUGAGGUGUCCGGUUAAGUCCGGCAACGAGCGCAACCCCCGCCGCCAGUUGCCAGCGGGUAAUGCCGGGCACUCUGGCGGGACUGCCCGCGUAAGCGGGAGGAAGGUGGGGAUGACGUCAAGUCCGCGUGCCCCUGAAGUCCUGGGCUGCACACAUGCUACAAUGCCCGCUACAAAGGGUUGCGAACCCGCAAGGGGGAGCGAAUCCCAAAAAAGCGGGCUCAGUUCGGAUCGCAGGCUGCAACUCGCCUGCGUGAAGCCGGAGUCGCUAGUAACCGCCGGUCAGCAAUACGGCGGUGAAUACGUUCCCGGGCCUUGUACACACCGCCCGUCACGCCACGGAAGCCGGCUGCACCUGAAGCCGGUGGGCUAACCGGCUGCCCCUUUGAGCGCCCCGAAAAAAACUCGUCGGGGUGUUGAAAGGGGCAGCCGGAGGCAGCCGUCUAAGGUGUGGUCGGUGACUGGGGCGAAGUCGUAACAAGGUAGCCGUAGCGGAAGCUGCGGCUGGAUCACCUCCUUUCUA
RNAcentral lists this ribosomal RNA (1627 nucleotides) under Armatimonadota bacterium. RNAcentral's name for it is "bacterial SSU rRNA". It matches the Rfam family "Bacterial small subunit ribosomal RNA". The record is from RNAcentral. Lineage: Bacteria; Bacillati; Armatimonadota.